This 433-nucleotide ribosomal RNA is filed under the name uncultured bacterium. RNAcentral's name for it is "partial 16S ribosomal RNA". It matches the Rfam family "Bacterial small subunit ribosomal RNA", at positions 29 to 507 of the family's 1533-position model. The record is from RNAcentral.
AACGAACGCUGGCGGCAUGCCUAACACAUGCAAGUCGAACGAGACCUUCGGGUCUAGUGGCGCACGGGUGCGUAACGCGUGGGAACCUGCCCUUAGGUUCGGAAUAACUCCCCGAAAGGGGUGCUAAUACCGGAUAAUGUCUUCGGACCAAAGAUUUAUCGCCUUUGGAUGGGCCCGCGUUGGAUUAGCUAGUUGGUAGGGUAAAAGCCUACCAAGGCGACGAUCCAUAGCUGGUCUAAGAGGAUGAUCAGCCACACUGGGACUGAGACACGGCCCAGACUCCUACGGGAAGCAGCAGUGGGGAAUAUUGGACAAUGGGCGAAAGCCUGAUCCAGCAAUGCCGCGUGAGUGAUGAAGGCCUUAGGGUUGUAAAGCUCUUUUACCCGGGAUGAUAAUGACAGUACCGGGAGAAUAAGCUCCGGCUAACUCCGUG